This 386-nucleotide ribosomal RNA is filed under the name uncultured bacterium. Its description in RNAcentral is "bacterial SSU rRNA". It matches the Rfam family "Bacterial small subunit ribosomal RNA", at positions 8 to 349 of the family's 1533-position model. The record is from RNAcentral.
AGAGUUUGAUCAUGGCUCAGGAUGAACGCUGGCGGCAUGCCUAAGACAUGCAAGUCGUACGAAGGGGCCCAAUGAAAAGAAUUGAAGUUUGAAGUGCUUGCACUGAGAAUGGAUUGAAUUGGAUUUGGAUUUUCCCCUUAGUGGCAAACGGGUGAGUAACACGUGGGUUACCUGCCUCCAAGAUGGGGAUAACAGUUGGAAACGACUGAUAAUACCGAAUGUGCUCUACGGAGUAAAGAACCUUUAAAGCUUCGCUUGGAGAUGGGCCUGCGGCGUAUUAGCUAGUUGGUGGGUAAUGGCCUACCAAGGCAACGAUGCGUAGCCGAACUGAGAGGUUGAUCGGCCACACUGGGACUGAGACACGGCCCAGACUCCGUACGGGAGCA